CCUACGGGUCGCAGCAGUGGGGAAUAUUGCACAAUGGGCGCAAGCCUGAUGCAGCCAUGCCGCGGGUACGAAGAAGGCCUUCGGGUUGUAAAGUACUUUCAGCGGGGAGGAAGGUGUUGUGGUUAAUAACCGCAGCAAUUGACGUUACCCGCAGAAGAAGCACCGGCUAACUCCGUGCCAGCAGCCACGGUAAUACGGAGGGUGCAAGCGUCAAUCGGAAUUACUGGGCGUAAAGCGCACGCAGGCGGUCUGUCAAGUCGGAUGUGAAAUCCCCGGGCUCAACCUGGGAACUGCAUUCGAAACUGGCAGGCUAGAGUCUUGUAGAGGGGGGUAGAAUUCCAGGUGUAGCGGUGAAAUGCGUGGAGAUCUGGAGGAAUACCGGUGGCGAAGGCGGCCCCCUGGACAAAGACUGACGCUCAGGUGCAAAAGCGUGGGGAGCAAACAGGAUUAGAUACCCUAGUAGUC
This 465-nucleotide ribosomal RNA is filed under the name uncultured bacterium. Its description in RNAcentral is "bacterial SSU rRNA". It matches the Rfam family "Bacterial small subunit ribosomal RNA", at positions 338 to 795 of the family's 1533-position model. The record is from RNAcentral.